CCCAGACCCAAAUAAACCAACCCAAGCUACACCUGAAAAUUUUAACUUUUUGAGUGAUUCAGUGGUAAUAUACAAGCAAAUACGCAAAAUUAUACAAAGCAGUUCAGUAUUCACUAUUCAGAGAAAUAAUCCAAUGGCCAUAUAAAAAUAGCUUAUCAACAUCAAAGUAAAAUAAAAAAAAAAAUUAUACUAGUAAUGUCCCAAAG
RNAcentral lists this long non-coding RNA (206 nucleotides) under Panax ginseng (ginseng). RNAcentral's name for it is "long non-coding RNA (PGIN_LNC011391)". Lineage: Eukaryota; Viridiplantae; Streptophyta; Magnoliopsida; Apiales; Araliaceae. The record is from RNAcentral.